CCAAUAGCGUAUAUUAAAGUUGUUGCAGUUAAAAAGCUCGUAGUUGAAUUUCGGGAUCAAUUAAUUGGUCGUGCCUCUGGUACGUACUGAUUUUAUUGGUUUCUCCCUUCUGACGAACCAUGAUGUCAUUAAUUUGGUGUCGUGGAGAAUCAGGACUGUUACUUUGAAAAAAUUAGAGUGUUUAAAGCAAGCUAACGCUUGAAUACAUUAGCAUGGAAUAAUGAAAUAGGACGUUUGAUCCUAUUUUGUUGGUUUCUAGGAUCGACGUAAUGAUUAAUAGGGAUAGUUGGGGGCAUUAGUAUUCAAUUGUCAGAAGUGAAAUUCUUGGAUUUAUUGAAGACUAACUACUGCGAAAGCAUUUGCCAAGGAUGUUUUCACUAAUCAAGAACGAAAGUUAGGGGAUCGAAGACGAUCAGAUACCGUCGUAGUCUUAACCAUAAACUAUGCCGACUAGGGAUCGGAUGAUGUUAAUUUUUUAAUGACUCAUUCGGCGCCUUACG
Molecule: ribosomal RNA, 500 nt
Filed under: uncultured Glomeromycotina
Lineage: Eukaryota; Fungi; Glomeromycota
Description: partial small subunit ribosomal RNA
Rfam family: Eukaryotic small subunit ribosomal RNA
Source: RNAcentral